GGCCCGGUGGCUCAGUUGGUUAGAGCGCCGCCCUGUCACGGCGGAGGUCGACGGUUCGAGUCCGUUCCGGGUCG
Molecule: transfer RNA, 74 nt
Filed under: Eubacteriales bacterium
Lineage: Bacteria; Bacillati; Bacillota; Clostridia; Eubacteriales
Description: tRNA-Asp
Rfam family: tRNA
About the family: Transfer RNA (tRNA) molecules are approximately 80 nucleotides in length. Their secondary structure includes four short double-helical elements and three loops (D, anti-codon, and T loops).
Source: RNAcentral